GAUUUUAAUUGUUAAAUGUUUUGAAAACAUUUAUUAAGAAUAAUUCUUUAAAAUCA
Molecule: transfer RNA, 56 nt
Filed under: Araneus angulatus
Lineage: Eukaryota; Metazoa; Arthropoda; Arachnida; Araneae; Araneidae
Description: tRNA-Ser
Source: RNAcentral